Molecule: ribosomal RNA, 253 nt
Filed under: uncultured bacterium
Lineage: Bacteria
Description: partial 16S ribosomal RNA
Rfam family: Bacterial small subunit ribosomal RNA
Source: RNAcentral
UACGUAGGGGGCGAGCGUUAUCCGGAAUUACUGGGCGUAAAGCGCACGCAGGCGGUUCGCCAAGUUUGGAGUGACAGUUGUCGGCUCAACCGACAAAGGACUUCAAAAACUGGUGAACUUGAGGACGAGAGAGGAACAUGGAACUCCAGGUGUAGUAGUGAAAUGCGUAGAUAUCUGGAAGAACACCAAUGGCGAAGGCAAUGUUCUGGCUCGUUUCUGACGCUCAGGUGCGAAAGCCAGGGGAGCGAGCGGG